RNAcentral lists this transfer RNA (71 nucleotides) under Ictidomys tridecemlineatus (thirteen-lined ground squirrel). RNAcentral's name for it is "Spermophilus tridecemlineatus (thirteen-lined ground squirrel) tRNA". It matches the Rfam family "tRNA". From Rfam's summary of the family: Transfer RNA (tRNA) molecules are approximately 80 nucleotides in length. Their secondary structure includes four short double-helical elements and three loops (D, anti-codon, and T loops). RNAcentral also lists the same sequence under 1 other name. Lineage: Eukaryota; Metazoa; Chordata; Mammalia; Rodentia; Sciuridae. The record is from Rfam by way of RNAcentral.
GUGGUUGUAGCUCAGUGGUAGAGUACUUGCCUAGCAUGUGUGAGGCACUGGGUUUGAUCCUCAGCACCACA